Long non-coding RNA from Homo sapiens (human), 290 nucleotides. The record is from Ensembl. Lineage: Eukaryota; Metazoa; Chordata; Mammalia; Primates; Hominidae.
AUCUAAGUAUGAGUACAGAAAAAUGUUUGGAGGCAUUUUUCAUCAGCGUUUCAUGAUCAUCAAAAUGGUGCAUUCACAAAGUUUCUCCCAACACAUAGCAAUUACUAGACAUGGCCAAGACGGAGUCGGAAACUUUAUACAAAAUAGGCGUCGCUUUGUUUUCCUUAUUCUUCAGGACUGAGAAAUGUGAAAAUAUGAGAAAAGUUCAGUCAAUAAAAUGGAAUUGUUCAUGAAGAAGUAGGCUGUUUGCAUGUUGAUUCUUAAUAGUUUAAAUAAAAUCUUUAAACAAA